RNAcentral lists this ribosomal RNA (450 nucleotides) under uncultured Glomeromycotina. RNAcentral's name for it is "SSU rRNA". It matches the Rfam family "Eukaryotic small subunit ribosomal RNA", at positions 569 to 1023 of the family's 1831-position model. Lineage: Eukaryota; Fungi; Glomeromycota. The record is from RNAcentral.
AGCAGCCGCGGUAAUUCCAGCUCCAAUAGCGUAUAUUAAAGUUGUUGCAGUUAAAAAGCUCGUAGUUGAAUUUCGGGAUCAGUAGGUCGGUCAUGCCUCAGGUAUGUACUGGUCUCACUGGUUCCUCCUUCCUGAUGAACCGUAAUGCCAUUAAUUUGGUGUUGCGGGGAAACUGGACUGUUAACUUUGAAAAAUUAGAGUGUUUAAAGCAGGCUAACGCUUGAAUACAUUAGCAUGGAAUAAUGAAAUAGGACGUUCGAUCCUAUUUUGUUGGUUUCUAGGAUUGACGUAAUGAUUAAUAGGGAUAGUUGGGGGCAUUAGUAUUCAAUUGUCAGAGGUGAAAUUCUUGGAUUUAUUGAAGACUAACUACUGCGAAAGCAUUUGCCAAGGAUGUUUUCAUUAAUCAAGAACGAAAGUUAGGGGAUCGAAGACGAUCAGAUACCGUCGUAG